RNAcentral lists this ribosomal RNA (495 nucleotides) under uncultured bacterium. Its description in RNAcentral is "partial 16S ribosomal RNA". It matches the Rfam family "Bacterial small subunit ribosomal RNA", at positions 28 to 507 of the family's 1533-position model. The record is from RNAcentral.
GACGAACGCUGGCGGCGUGCCUAAUACAUGCAAGUAGAACGCUGAAGGAGGAGCUUGCUCUUCUGGAUGAGUUGCGAACGGGUGAGUAACGCGUAGGUAACCUGCCUGGUAGCGGGGGAUAACUAUUGGAAACGAUAGCUAAUACCGCAUAACAGUAGAUGUUGCAUGACAUUUACUUAAAAGGUGCAAUUGCAUCACUACCAGAUGGACCUGCGUUGUAUUAGCUAGUUGGUGGGGUAACGGCUCACCAAGGCGACGAUACAUAGCCGACCUGAGAGGGGGACGGGCCACACUGGGACUGAGACACGGCCCCGACUCCCACGGGAGGCAGCAGGAGGGAAUCUUUGGCAAUGGACGGAAGGCUGACCGAGACACGCCGCGUGAGUGAAGAAGGGUUUCGGAUCGUAAAGCUCUUUUGUAAGAGAAGAACGAGGGUGAGAGUUGAAAGUUCACAAUGUGACGGUAGCUUAACAGAAAGGGACGGCUAACUACGUG